AUUGAACGCUGGCGGCAGGCUUAACACAUGCAAGUCGAGCGGAUGAAGGGAGCUUGCUCCUGGAUCCAGCGGCGGACGGGUGAGUAAUGCCUAGGAAUCUGCCUGGUAGUGGGGGAUAACGUCCGGAAACGGGCGCUAAUACCGCAUACGUCCUGAGGGAGAAAGUGGGGGAUCUUCGGACCUCACGCUAUCAGAUGAGCCUAGGUCGGAUUAGCUAGUUGGUGGGGUAAAGGCCUACCAAGGCGACGAUCCGUAACUGGUCUGAGAGGAUGAUCAGUCACACUGGAACUGAGACACGGUCCAGACUCCUACGGGAGGCAGCAGUGGGGAAUAUUGGACAAUGGGCGAAAGCCUGAUCCAGCCAUGCCGCGUGUGUGAAGAAGGUCUUCGGAUUGUAAAGCACUUUAAGUUGGGAGGAAGGGCAGUAAGUUAAUACCUUGCUGUUUUGACGUUACCAACAGAAUAAGCACCGGCUAACUUCGUG
This 484-nucleotide ribosomal RNA is filed under the name uncultured bacterium. RNAcentral's name for it is "partial 16S ribosomal RNA". It matches the Rfam family "Bacterial small subunit ribosomal RNA", at positions 30 to 507 of the family's 1533-position model. The record is from RNAcentral.